RNAcentral lists this ribosomal RNA (410 nucleotides) under Verrucomicrobiota bacterium. RNAcentral's name for it is "Verrucomicrobia bacterium partial 16S ribosomal RNA". It matches the Rfam family "Bacterial small subunit ribosomal RNA", at positions 355 to 776 of the family's 1533-position model. Lineage: Bacteria; Pseudomonadati; Verrucomicrobiota. The record is from RNAcentral.
UGGGGAAUCUUGCACAAUGGGCGAAAGCCUGAUGCAGCGACGCCGCGUGCGGGAUGAAGGCCUUCGGGUUGUAAACCGCUUUCAGCAGGGACGAGGCCGCAAGGUGACGGUACCUGCAGAAGAAGCCCCGGCUAACUACGUGCCAGCAGCCGCGGUAAUACGUAGGGGGCAAGCGUUAUCCGGAUUCAUUGGGCGUAAAGCGCGCGUAGGCGGUUUGUUAGGUCAGGAGUUAAAUCUGGGGGCUCAACCCCUAUCCGCUCCUGAUACCGGCAAGCUUGAGGCUGGUAGGGGAAGGCGGAAUUCCAAGUGUAGCGGUGAAAUGCGCAGAUAUUUGGAAGAACACCGGUGGCGAAGGCGGCCUUCUGGGCCACGACUGACGCUGAGGCGCGAAAGCUAGGGGAGCGAACAGG